AAAUUGAAGAGUUUGAUCAUGGCUCAGAUUGAACGCUGGCGGCAGGCCUAACACAUGCAAGUCGAACGGUAGCACAGAGAGCUUGCUCUCGGGUGACGAGUGGCGGACGGGUGAGUAAUGUCUGGGAAACUACCUGAUGGAGGGGGAUAACUACUGGAAACGGUGGCUAAUACCGCAUAACGUCGCAAGACCAAAGAGGGGGACCUUCGGGCCUCUUGCCAUCAGAUGUGCCCAGAU
RNAcentral lists this ribosomal RNA (237 nucleotides) under Salmonella enterica. RNAcentral describes it as "partial 16S ribosomal RNA". It matches the Rfam family "Bacterial small subunit ribosomal RNA", at positions 1 to 236 of the family's 1533-position model. Lineage: Bacteria; Pseudomonadati; Pseudomonadota; Gammaproteobacteria; Enterobacterales; Enterobacteriaceae. The record is from RNAcentral.